Molecule: ribosomal RNA, 464 nt
Filed under: uncultured soil bacterium
Lineage: Bacteria
Description: bacterial SSU rRNA
Rfam family: Bacterial small subunit ribosomal RNA
Source: RNAcentral
AGGACGAACGCUGGCGGCGUGCCUAACACAUGCAAGUUGAGCGACGAACCAGGGCUUGCCCUGGGGCAAAGCAGCGAACGGGUGAGUAACACGUGGAUAACGUACCCCGAUAACCGGGACAACUCGAGGAAACUCGAGCUAAUACCGGAUGUGCCCAUCACACACCAGUGUGAUGUGUAAAGGAAGCUUCGGCCUCCGUAUUGGGAGCGGUCCGCGGCCCAUUAGCUAGUUGGUGAGGUAACGGCUCACCAAGGCAACGAUGGGUAGCUGGUCUGAGAGGACGAUCAGCCACACUGGGACUGAGACACGGCCAGACUCCUACGGGAGGCAGCAGUGGGAAUCUUAGCGCAAUGCGACGAAAGCGUGACGCAGCAACGCCGCGGUACGGGGGAAGAAGGUUUCGGAUUCGUAAACCCCUUUGAAGGAAGGACGAAGGUUCGCGGUAGAAGUACGGCCGACCGGAC